Colossoma macropomum (tambaqui) is the source of this 4520-nucleotide long non-coding RNA. RefSeq lists it as uncharacterized. Lineage: Eukaryota; Metazoa; Chordata; Actinopteri; Characiformes; Serrasalmidae. The record is from RefSeq and is a predicted model, not a curated record. The transcript is spliced from 5 exons.
GGUCCAGAUUUCACCUCCCAGUGUGUGUUUGUUCAGUUCCAUCACCAGCUCAUCCCUUAGCCAAUCAGAGGUAUCGUAUAUCUGUAAUAUUAUAGGCAAAUUUUUAUACCAAUUCUGAAAUCUCAUUGGCUGAGCAGUGUUUCGAGCUGUAUGUACAUGUUUAUUGCAAACAUAGUAGAAACCUUAUUUAAUCUAAUGUUUAUUUUUGUAUGUGUCCAGGUUUGCACCGGAAAUGAUGUGACGUAUUUUGCGGUCAGCCUUGACCAACUGUUAGUUAACCAAGACCUGUCAUUUCAGCUGGGCUGGGAAAUGAAAGGAGAGACUGUUCAAAGACAGGCUUUGAAAGACUGCAUAUUUGGUGUCAGCAACAUAAAUCACUGACGCUGAUGGUCUUUCCUGAUGUGGUCAAGAAGCGGCCGCGUUAUGCACCAGAAAGGGAGGGGUGCGUUCCCAGAAACACAAGCCGUAGUUGACUUUCUAAUUGAACCUUUGCUUUAUUUUGUAACUGUAAGUGACUCAUUAAAAGGUCUCAUCAGUUUUGUGUUUAGUUCUGUAUUUUCUCUUUCUGGCAGAUGAGCUUUACUCGGACAGUUGGCUGAAAAACGUGUACUUUCCCACUGACCCCAGGCACAGUUGAUCAGCCAAGACAUGUUUAAUAAUCACCAUUUUAUUAGUUGACUGUUUUUAUCUUGUUACUACUGAAUGUAUCUAAGUAUAUCUGAAUAUAUGUACUGAAUGUUUCAGAGUGAUUCUGUAACUGUAGUGAAGUGUUACUGAAUAUAACAUGACAACUUCAUGAAAACACAGUCACUGUGAAGUCUUACUUAUUGUUAUACAGAUAAUACUAGAACUUUGUCCACAAAACCACCAGUGAACCUCCACACAUCUUCUGAGUUUUAUAUACAAUGAUGAUGAUAAUGAUGAUGAGGAUGAUGGUAAAAUAAUGGAAGAUCUGAAAUAAUAAGCUUUACUGGGUCCUACUUUACCUGGAUCCCUUCACCAUUAAUGGACUCAAAAGGAGAUUGUAGCCCAAAUGUUGAUCUCAGAACCAUCAUAAAACAGUGCCUCAGUCAUCAGGCAGUGAAUUCAUAAGCAUUUCAUGUAGUAACUCUGUGAGGGAGCUUUUAGAGGUGGACGUCUGGUUCCUAUCACCACCACUGUGAACAGUUCUGACUCGGUAAGUUUCUGUAGAACAGGGCGUUUCACACCAAACCACUCUGAAUGAUUUUAUAUAGAUCAGCCAGUAACUUAUGGAGAAAUUUAGGAAAGUUGGUGGAAUUGGGCGGGGGUCUGUGGGCGUGGCUUAAUAUUAAAAUGAGUACGUGCAGAAAUUGAUAGCUGAGCAGAGAAAUGAGUGAAAUGGGCUCUACUUUAUUCUAUUGUAGUUGUAGUUGUAGCUGUAGUUGUUCUCUUCUCUACUCCAUGACUCACUGAAACACUCUCCAGCGUUUCUGUGGCGCUGCUUUAAAGAAGGUAAGGGUCUUUAAUUCUGAAAGUCCACACAGAGAAACAGAGAACGCGGACACGACCGACAGACAAGAAGACGGAUGUAAACUAAUGUCCAGCUGUAAAGAUGUCAGCUUUUUUCGAGCCGUUAUAACUGAGGAGACCGGCCACUGAUUGAAAUGGGAAUGGAAAACUCGCAACGCUCAACAUGGCGUCUGUUUACGGUGAAACUCCCGCCCAUCAAGAAGCAGAGCCAAUCAGCUUGCUGGUUGCGCUGUGAGCCCUCCCCCUUGUUGUGGCGAUCAGUAGCCAGAACGAGCUGAAAAAAGAUGUUUUUUUGUGCGUUACUGAGCCAAACGCUACAAACUUCUUAUGAGGUUUUGUCAGAUUUUAUCGUGUCUUUAAAUGUGUUUUUGAAAAGGUAAUUUGACCCUCAGUUUGGAGUUUUUUAGUCUCUCCCAUUUUAAAGAGGGUGGAUUCUGGUCUUGUACGGUUGGAACUGAACGACGAACAGUGUGAGUGCGCCCCCUGCUGUUCAUCAUUAACAUUACCGCCGCUUCAAUCAGGAGAUCUUUCAGACUCUAUAAUUAUAAUGUACUGUAUCCUGAUCAAGAAACGUGGGUCGUUAAUUCCAGGUUGUCUGUUCUGCAGCGUUUAUUCACGGCGUUAGUCUGAUAAGGACUCUUAUUCUGAAGGAGUCAGAACAGGAAGAACUGAGUCAGUCGGAGCUGAAAAACUCCACCGUCUGAAACCUGUAUAUUUUCCACUGGAGUGUGUUGGAUAUGGGAGAGUCAGAUCUCGGCUCUGGAACACUUUAGGAUGGUACUAAGAGCGCAGCUGUCUACGUCUGAUCAUCACUAACCCACCGUCUGAGUUUGGAGAAGAUCGGAGAAAGUCAACAUUUUCACCCACAAAUCCUCUCAGAGGGACCCCUUUGAGUUUUUUUAGAGGACAUUUUUGACUUUGUCCAAUCUUCUCCAAACUCACACCCAGAGUUAGGGAGACCCAGACUUAGACAGUAGUGCUUUUAGUUUAGUCUGAUCUCACACCAAAGCAGAGAUCAGAUGAUCCCAUUUCUGAUCCAUUCCAGUCUAGUACAGAUCUGAGUUUUGGACAGUAGAAUUUUAAAAAGACAGAUACGGCUUCAGGAGAGAGACGGGCUGCAUGGAAAACUGCUGUUACAACAUAUAAAUCCACUAUUUAAAGGCUUUGCUUUGUACAAUCCACUGGAAAUGUAUUGGAAAUAGCUUAAAUAUAAUAGAAUUGGGAUGAAGUCCCACCGUUAGUAUCUGCAUGUUAUCUCCACACAAAAUACACAAAACCACACAAAAUACACAAAAACUGAUUUUUCUGAAUCUGUAAUGCAGUGAUUUAUUUCUACCACUGGAGGGCGAUGAUGAGCACAGUUGUGGAGAUGGAGGUACCAUCGAAGGCAGCAGUGAGUUUAUUAGGUGUGUCACAGGUUUUUUUUUAUUUAUUUUUUUUUAUUAGCAGUUCAGAAGAAACAGUGGAAUUUUUGCUCGAACUGUGGAAUAAAACAAAACCUCUGAUUAUUCUUUCAGUUUCUGGGUAAGACUUUAGUCUCCAGGCGGUUCUGAAAAUACUUUUGGAGUUUAUGACAAACAAGAGUCACUGUAAAUUAAUCUGUUCAGAUUUUGGCUUCUUGAUUGCACUUAAUUAUGAAAGCUAACGUUUAUUUGCACAACAUUUUCAAUAUUUAAUUAAUUUUACGUCCCAAAGUCUUUAAAACUGGCUCAGUGUUUACACCAUGAUAAUCAUCUAUGUUACAUGAUGAGGAGGGACAGUGCAGAACUGUGCCAUCUGCUGGUGACGAGGAGGGACAGUGUAGAACUGCGCCAUCUGGUGGUAAUGAGGAGGGACAGUUUAGAACUGCGCCAUCUGCUGGUGACAAAGAGGUCUGUGUUAAUAACGGACCAAUCAGCCAAUGAAAUGUUAACAGAUCAGCCAAUGAGGUGUCCUGUUAGAAGGAGAGUGACUCAAAAUGGAGGAAGAAGAACGGCUCCAAGGUCAGGAAACUGGGUCUGGAUUUUGGCCUCUGGAUCUUCAUUCCAUGCUGAAAAGUUCCCGGUUGUUGGUCUGAGUUCAGUCUGAAGCGUCAUUCAGCUGGAUUUUCUGCAGCACAAAUAACCUUCCCAGAAUGCAAGACGCCAAGAAUCUCAUGGACUUAUUGAUCUUACACACCAGUUUUGCAUAUAUUUGCAUAUUGAUGAGCAAGCAACCAAUCAGAGAAGCCAAUUAAAUAAAAAAAAAAUAAAUCGAGUCUUUAUAAGGCUUGUGAUGUGAACGCUGUUCUCGAUGACGGUGAAGACGAGAAAAAACACUAAUAAACAGGUUCCUCAGCCUCACCCAUAGUAGGCAGGAUUUGAGACGAGCCAGUAUUGGUUCAGCCCACCAUCUCAAGCACAGCGCCAUGGAAACGACGCAACCUGAGCGGCCCAAAUUUAUACAAAUAAAAGGCACUAUGAACAAUAACUACUUCAAGACUAGUUGGUUAAUUGAUGGUAACUUUUAUUGAUUUCCACACAUGGUAAUAUGCUAAUUUCACAAGUUACCAUAAAGAAGAAGGCUGGAGCUCCAAGUUAAGUUUGACCAAUGAAGCAGUUAAUUCUCCAUUUGAUACUAUGCUUAGAAAGUUUUAAGCAGUAAUUCUUUUCUGCAAUGACUUGUGCGUUUCUGUUUCUGGUCAUUUCAGUGUUAUUUUCCAAUCAUUGCAUAGUUACAGAUAUUUCUUAGUCUCCAUCGCCUUACGUUUUCUUAUGAACAGUAGCUAUUUCAGGACUAGUUCUCAAAUUGAUGGUAACCUCUAGUCAUUUCUUAGCAUGGUUAUAUUGUAAUUUUGCAAAUUUUUGAGUCACCAUGAAUGAGAAUCCUAGGCCACCGAACCAAGAUUGACCAACCAAGAAAGGAGUUUGGAGUUUGAAAUUUUCAAUUUAAUUUGUGUUUAUCAUUUUCUGUUUAUUUUAAUGUCAGAGACACAAAGGUGUUUUUGGAGUAGUGUUUUUUUGGACUCUGUAACAGUCAUGGAGAUUAAACUCUAGACCAUUUUACACAGA